CCAAUCUCAACAGCACCCUCCCUCCCUUGACUCGUGUGAAGUCGAAGCAGAGUCUCGCCUAUUUGUUGAAUGGAAUGAGCAAUUAGUGGGUGGAAUAUUAUUGUGAUCUUAACGAGGCUCGUUAAAGUUAAGAAGAUAUGUAGGGAGAGAAGGCAGGGGUGGGGUCUCGGAAUGACAGUCACGGACACGGGAAUUUAAAUGAAGCGCUAAAACGGAAUCUACGGCGGGGUACGCAGAUAGGCUGUUUCGUUCUUUAGCGCCUUGUGCGAAGCUGGAGGAGACGCGAUGCCGCGCCGGCUCGCUUAACCCGCGAAUUCAGGCGCCAUAAAAGCACGUAUCGAACUGUAUCUUUAAAAGGACCGUUUGCUCGCUUUGCGUACCCAACGCUGAAAACUCCCGGAUCGUUUUUGCACCGCGAUCGCAUUUCGGUACGACGCGACUGCUGUGCUCGCGCACUGACGACGCUUAGCCUGCUAGCGGACGGCGCGUCUCCGCCGCUCCGCCGAUGCCGCUCAGAGAGCCAACGCUGGCCCAUUACCCAUGCACGUCGAGAAAAGCACGUGAUCGUCGAUGCAUAUUUGCCAUCAUUUCAUUAAACCGCUCUCUUUUGCGGUAACGGCUACAGCCGGGCUAUUCUGCGCGCCGCUUAAGGUCGUUAAAACGAGAAAGCCCGUUUCCCGAGAGUGAGAUUGGGCUUCCAAUGGCAUGUUGGUAAAUAGGUCUCUCCUGCAGCUGAGAGUUUGUGCUGCACUGUAUUUAGACGGGAUGUGCAGUCGGUGUUAAAAAUGCUUGCGUCCGCUCGAUAAUAACGACCAUAUCGAUAGAGGCGUAAUGAGACGCAGCAUCCAGACUUUCUCUAAAAUAAUGCUGAAAUAAUUAAAUGCAUCUUCCAGAAACGAGAUGCAUGCGUCUCUUUCAGAUAUUUGAUUUCACCUUUUCAAAUAAUCCUGCACGUAAAUCGGAUAACGCAGUUUACUUGUAUGAACUUUUCUGUUUCCUAUUCCGGUUAAACUUUAUCAUUAGCCUCCAUAAACAAACGCGGCGCGAACCGAGGGGCCGGGGAAGAGAUCCCGGUAGAUACAUCGGGUCACGUUGUGUCUCCAGGAUCAAAAUCUGGAAACUCAAGUGAAGUAAUUCCAAGAGGCACUUGAAGCGGUCUCUUCGGAAACUGUGUUGUUUCAUCGUUGAACUUUGUUUUUGGCCAAACUGUUUUACAUCUCUUGAUCGCGUCACGCGACGCAGGCCCGGUCCCCCCGAUAACGUGAUUAAAAUAAUUAGGUUCAGGAGACACCGGUGUAAGCUGUAAUAGUGGAAAUGGCUUUAAAGCAGGACAAAAAACCGUGCUGAGUUGUCGUAAAUUCACUUUGUUUAACAUAGCCUUUGUUUUCGUUAAGCAAGUCAUUAGCAUCCCCAAAUAAGUUCAUUCACCUGGUUUAAUCGUCUGUUUAUCCCCUAGCUUUCAUUGCUCUGUUCUAUGCCAAAAUCAGCGGGGAGCAAGGUCCUCAAUACAGACGAACGUUUAGCUCCGUCUUUGUUUAUUUACUGACAGAGACUGUGAAAGAAGAACGCAAUAGACAGCGGAUUAUUUCGCGAUAUGCGUUUCUGUAAUACUUUCGGUAUUUUUGAGCAAAGUGACAUCACGGGUUUGAAACUUAACGCGUAAUUUCGGCGUUCACCGUCUCUCCGAGAGAGCCGUAUAGCCCAAAUAAAGCUAAGCGUCGUCAGCGUGCCAGAGAUCAUUGAGAAGAGCUCGAUGGCACGAGAAGGUCAUAACACAUCGCCAAACAGGAAAUCGAUCUUCAGGUGACGGCUGCAGAAAAGCAGAGCUCUAUCAAGAGACGUCUUCUCGGAAGCGGUGUGGUUUGAGCCUUUCAGUUUUUUUUCUCUUUUCUUAAACUAACUUACGGGUUGUAAAACUGGAAGUGGUUCCAUCGAUUCUGAUUCAUCGCUUACUCUUUUUUUUCCCCUUUAUGUCACGUCUCUAUACUGCACGUCUUUCCCGCUAUAUUUUCCCGGUUAUGUUUUCAUCCAGUUAUAAAUUAGUGGCUAUUAUGUUAUAGGCUGAAACGCCGCUACAGUUCCGUCCUGAGUGGACUUUAUUUAGUCCGCGUUGUUUAUACAAGAGUGCACAUCUUUUGAAUCGCAUUACUUAUUUUUUUUUAAUUGCUAAUUGUUCCGAGAGACUCACCAGAGUUGGUCAAGUUCUUAAGAGUGUUUAGGGCUUCAUAAAAGACACCGAGAUGCAGUUCAUAAAGCGAAGGCGGAAGAAUAAACGAAAAAAAAAAAAAAAAAAGCCGUGCGUAUUCCCAGAUUGUCGCUCGCGAAGUUGUCGUCCUCUGCCGGGACGGUGCUCUCCCUCCGUGAACCGCGCGAGACAAACGCAGCUUGCAGCGUCGUGGGGCCGUCGUAACGGGGCGCAAAUGCCCCUUUCCAUUCUCCGCUUAGGGUCUUAACCUCGGCUGUAUUUUGAAUCCGCGUGGUUUAACGUAGGCAGCACGAUAGAUGAGUUUUAUUACUUCUGCCUGUACGAUGUAGGGAGCCGAUAAACCGUUCACAAUAAAAAAAAAUAUUGAAAUGACAAACGUUUGAUAUGUGUCAUUUGUUAAAGCAAAUUAGGUCAAUUUAUAAUUGUGUUACGUGCUGAUCAUCAAGCUCGCUCCACGCUGUUCUCUUUAUCAUUGAUUUGAGCAUUAAUAAAAAAAAACCGCAAAGGCUACAUUGGUUAUUUUAGUUAGGUUAUUAGUUACGAGUCCCCGAAACCUCAAUGAUAAGUUACUUUUUUUUCCAUGGGCUGGGGGGAAGGAGGCGAUGUGCGAGCACCAUUUUCAACAGAGAUGACCCCCCUCCCUCCCUCUCUUUUUUUUGUGUGGUCUCAUUAAGUGGGUAUCCUGCUAGGUCUGCGGAGUUACACGGGAGCUGUCCAAUCACUGCAUUUGCACGGCUUGUUAGCGACAUUUAAUGAGGGUUCUCUGCGAACCGAGUGAAUGGCGCUUCAAUGUUAGAUUUACCUUGUGUCAACUCGUUACUUCUAAUGAAGCCAUUGGAGGUUUCGCUUGUGAAUGGAGCCGGACGCCUGGAACUGCAGGCCCUCUUUCUUCCGGUUUCUCCUAAAGCUUCGGCUUGGCCCAAAUCCACAGUUUGUGGUGUGGGUGGUGAGGACGUGCACUGUAUUUUAGGGGGGUCGAGCGGAGUAAAGGGGAUAUUCAUAAACAGAUACGCUGUAUCCAUUCUAUUGUGCGUUAAGCGAUUAUGUUGAUUUUAGGACCUUUUCGGGGAUCAACGUGAUUAUCCUUGAAGUGAUAAAAGAGCUACUCUAGUUCUCUCCUCGAGAUAAACGUAUAGCCUACACUUCUCUGAGAUCCACCACUACAAUCACAUUUCCACAGUUUUUAACAGAGACGUUAAAUGGGUUUUUACAUAGUCUUGUGUUUAAAAAGGAUUAAAGAAAUUACUCAGUUACUCAAAAUAAUAAUGCAUCCUAAUAUCACUAAUUUUCGGCUAUAUAGAUUAUGUACAGUAUGAUCACUGUGGAAUGCAUUUCUUUCUGCAUGAAUGUAUUUUUUAUAAAAUCGUCUGCUUAAAGAGUAUGGUCAGACGAACUAGUGAGCCAUUUAACCUAGUUUCUGAUUUUACAAUACUAGUUUUCAUCAACAAAAUAAAACGUUUUUUUUAUUGUAAUAAUUAUAUAGAAGUAAUAGACUAAGCAAAUGGUUUAAAACGUAAGAGGAGCAUGUCGAGAUGCAUCGAUUUGGGCUAAUAUUAGAAGAAGAAAAAAAGCAUAGGAAUUUGACGUGGUUAAAUUGCAUUUUUGUAGGCUACAUCAGGUUGUUUUGUCAAUCUUGCAGGUGCAAAAUGACACGAUAUAGCCCACCGAGGCCGCUGUCAAAACGACCCGAGGCAACCCGACAAUAAUUCAUAAAGGCUGGCAAUCUGUCACUUUGCAUUCAGCAGGAGUUUUCUAUCAGAGGUUUUAAAUAGGCAGAAAGUGAAACGCGGGUCUGCGCCUAGUAAGACGAACCAAACUAGAGCAAACCGUCAACAUGGGCGAAUUAUUAGCGCCUCACUUGAGCUGCUGCUGAAAGGGCAGACCCAUUCAUGAUUUUGCUCAGUCUCUUCGUCCAUUCCCCCUUUAGCCAUUCAUGCUAUAUUAUGAUUCAUUUACAAGAUGUUAGAAAAAUUAAACUCGGGCGUACGGGUGGGACAUUUUGUCACUUUAACCGAUUUAAAAUUAAAUUAGUAUUUCAAUAGUCUUAAAUUUGUGUAUCUAAAUGAUUUGUGGAAUAGGACACUUUAUCCAUAUAUCAUUAUUAUUAUUAUUAUUAUUAUUAUUAUUAUUAUUAUUUUUUCCCUUCACCAUAUAAUUACUGUUCUUUAAAAAAGUAUAGCCUACUGUAGACGUAACGAACUUUAAACACAACCUAAGUACGAGGGCUAGAUUUAAGAAAAAUGAAUUAAGCUACUAAAUUCUUUAAAUGUAGAAUUACUCAUUCUUUUAUAACAACACAUGCAAUUUUUAAAUAAAAUACAGCGAUGAAGAUUUUUUUAUUUGUGUUUCAUUAUUGUCCGACUGGCUUGUUCACAUUUAAGCGAAUCUCAGCGAACACGGUGCUUAAUAAUGCAAAAUGCAACCUGUCCUUCCCUACUGCCUAAACCGCUGUGUUUAACAUAAGCCUUUCCCUCGUCCUUCAUUUGACAGGGAGUCAAGUGACUGAAAAAUUACACGAGUGAAACCAGCAUAUUUAAACGGGACAAGCCCUGCUAUUGUAGCUUGACGUGUUUUUGUUCCUGUUAUCGAGAAUGACAGUGAUUGUUGCUCGAGAAUGAUAUAUAAUAAUUGCAUUUUGUUUUGCUCACAUCAGGUGUUUUUUUUUCUUCUUCUUCUUCUUCUUUUCUCGACACUUGCCUAAACCGCUGUAUUUAACCGUGAUACGCAUUUGAAUGUAUUAGAUGAUGUGUUGAUAUUUGAUUGAUACGUCGAAUGAGGCUGCUGGUUCUCAAAUUAUAUAUUGACAUCUUGUUAUAUCCCCAUGUUUGGGACAAAUAUCGAAUUAGUGCGUCUGCGUGACCUCUGCUGACCCACGACAGCUCUCGUUUGUAAAGGUUACCAGGAAGCAAUUUGCUAAACAUUAGUAUUAAAAAUGCUUAUCUCUGAUAUCAACUUACAGUAAUUCCAACUCACUUGGGGGGGAAAAAAGACUUAGGCCUGCGCGUAAAAGCAAACAGUGCGGAGUAUUUAUUACCGACGCUCCACCCUGGGACUGUCCCUUGACAUUCGUAAUAAAAUGUUUAACUUUUCAUUAAAUGUAAGCGGUUUAAAUACGAACCACUUGCCUUCUCGGAAGUUUAAGUCAGGAAGGCGAAUGCUGAGAUGUUUAGGCCUGCUUGCUUGGCGUUAACUCGGCGGUGACUGGAAGUGUAGCAUCCAGAACUUGUUAUUCAUGGGUGAAAAGCAUCUGUCGAAUAGGAUUUCUGUCUAAAAGAAGAGUCUGACCACAGAGAUCAAUAGAGGACGUCUGGGUUGCUGCAGGAGAUGCAGUGCGCUACAUCGCUGUGACAGGUACAAGGAGACUACUUUGAGGAGGCGCUCCGGACAUCAACAGGUAGAUCUAGGCCUGACCAAAAGCUAAGGAAAGAAAACGAGAACACCGAGUGAUUCAGGAUGAAUCAGGGGGUCACGAUGGGGUGGGGGUUAUUACAGGCCUGACGCUAACAUUUCUCAACGUUUUAUAAAACGACUUUGAUCAAGGGAAACGUCUUGAUAACACAUAAGCCUAUUGCAGAACUGACGUUUCAGGAAGUUACCAACAAAGAACUAUCCGGCGUUUUAGUCUGUUCCCUCACGGACGAUGUUUAAAGACGGAAUCAACGAGGAAAAUAAUUCUUCGCUAUUUUCUUCUUCUUCUUUUUUUCAGAUUUCUAUUGCUCACAACACGUGCCAUUCUAUUUCGGUUGACGUGAUUUAUACCGUUUUGUAAAAUGACUGAACCGUGUUAUGCUUGUCAUUGUACUGCCCGGCCGAAAACAUAAAAGAAGCACAUUUCGUUAAACAGCUAAUUUUAGAUUGAAUUUAUAUACAAUGAAGCAAAGCUUGUGGGAAGGUUUGAGCCAGGGGUUUACAGUCUGUCGGAUUUGUGUGACUAUAGUGUCUUCAAUUCACAAUUAAUUAUUUCCUUUGGAAAGCUGUCUGUGACACCCAGUGAUAAUGUUUCCCUCGUGUUUAAUUGGCGACCACUUAAACUUUCACAGUUGUUGAUUAUUAGAGACGACCACAAAAAAAAAUCUAAACAAAAAAAAACAACAACAGUUGUUCUGGCGAAAUCCUGAAAGGCGUAAUUAGAUGUCGUCUACAUCUAGUAGUCUAGAUCGUAAUUAGUCUAGCUUCUAAAGCAUUGUUUUAUAGCGCAGGUACUUGACGGCAAUUUUUUUUAAUCAACACACAUGCAUUUUUUAUUAGAUCACUUAACUAAAUUAUUUGCAGAUACUCAAGCAGAUGUCAAAACGUCUUGAAAAUGUUUGAGUGACCGACUGACGACGAUACCAAAAUGAAAAAUUAAUGACUGACAGCUGUAACCUGUAGCCUGCCCUCGGUCUUUCAAUAUCUGUGAUGGUUAUCCACAGCACAGCCUCAGACUAUUUUCUCAAAAAUACGAGUUUGCUAUUGAUUUACGACCUCUUAUUCCCUGAUACGGACCGAGAAACGAGCGAGAACGAAACCCAAAAUAAUCUAAAUAAUUCUCUACGUUUUUGGAUUAUUAUAGGGGCUUCUGCAAGCAUCCAUAAGGCUGCCUUACAGCUGCAGGGGGUCGUCAGAUUGUUUGCCGCGAACGAGACGCCUGUGCGCGCGCACUCACGCAAGGUGAAUCCAAAGGCAAAAUGUCGCGCAGAGGUAAUGGGAAGUUAUUGGGAGGCUGUCCUGCCAUAUUGUCCCGCAGGUCUGCGGUUCACGGCGGGGUUAAAGAAACUGUUGAUAUCUUUGUUUGCUCCCUCCGCAAAUCCCUUUCCUUCCUAAAAGAGGAUGUGUCCUGCCCAGCAGCGCCGCGCUCACCGGCUCGCACCCCUGUUUGUUUUUAUAGGUUUACAACAUUGACCAAAACAGGAACACAAAUAAUAUCGCGACGUCAUAAACUGCACGGUUCGGUCUCGUCUUUGUGAAAGCAAACACCCGUCCUCGAACUCAAGUGAAUUCUUUGUCUUUGGCUAUUUUUGUCUGCAAUAACCCAGAAAAUCCUUCCGCCUGUUUCCGAGUAACCCGCCAUUGUGCGGGAAGGGGGAAAAAAAAGAACAUUUGCUCAGUCUCUCCAUCAGCAUUCGACCUUAUUUAACAAUAAGCCUUUCGCGUGAAAGCGGGCGUGCUUUAAAACGCACACUGGGUUGUGAUGAUGUAUGAUAAUUCGUUUAAAACAAUACAAUUUCACGUUUCAGAUCGUCUGUUGUUGCUGUUAUAUGUUGAUUUCCUAAUUGAGCGCACUUGAUGAUCUUUGGCAUGGUAUACGAUCAGCUGCAUGCACGUUCUCCUUUCCUCUUCUGCGUUGCAGCUCUGUGCCGUCUUUGAACGCAAUGGCUCGUAUUACUGAGGAGCUUGCAGUAUUUGACCCAUCAGAACAAUAACAUUGUUUGUCAGCCUGUCACUACUCGGAUGACUGAGCUGCUAGCGGUGUGUGAGUGUGAGAGUGUAUGUGAGACUGACUCUGAGUGUAUGAGAUAAAGAGACAGAAGGGGAGGGAAAAUAUUGUUAUGUCCUCUGUAUUCCAGAACAUGACUUGAGGCUCUUAGCACUUUUUCAUUUUUUUUUUUCUGUGUAUGUGCGCGUGUGUUUGCAUGUGUUGAUAUUGCCUCCAUUAGCCUCAUUAGAUCUGUUUAGCUGCAGAGCAUCACAAACAAGCCGAACAUCAUUAGAGCUCACAUCUCUCUCACUCUCUCUCUUUCCCACUUUUCCAUUCUCCUCAUCUCUCUAAGUACUGCUAUCAGGUGGUGUAAACCUGAAAAUCCUAAUGCUGUUGUGCAACUUAUGUUAUAAAUCAAGACAGUUUUUAUCAAGAACGCUGGGAUAAAAAUAGUAUUAAGCAGUCUUUUAUUUUUUUUUAAAGGCAGUGAUACUAUUUUACAGGGAGACAUUAAACUGAUCAAAACAGCAAAAGACUUUAAUACUGUUACAAAACAUUUUCCACAACAGAACCAUUUUCAACUAGUAAUUGUUCAGAAUCACCAUUGGAAUGAUUUGAAGAUGCAUUAGCUGCUAAAAAAUUAAGUUCGUCAUUAAAGAAAAAAAAUAAGAUAAAUAAAAUAUUUAGAAACCUUGUUAUGGUCCCAGACUUUGCCUUUAUUGUACAGUUGUUCAACAGAGGGGGGGAAAACCAUACGGCAAUGGCGUUUUAUUAAUAAUUAAAUAUUUUGGGGAUUUUCAGUGGGCGGUAACUUAAAAAAAAAAUUGUAAUAGAGUAGAUCUUUCAGAAUGAAAUACAGUGAAAUAUUAAUUCAAGCGUGUGGUACUGAAACUCUAGUGUACAAGCUGUAAAUAAAUGAGGCUGGAAUGUGCUACACGACUCCACUGGACAAAUGUGAACAAUAACAAAAUGUAGUGCUGUGUAAUCCUGUAUCUAAAGUAUAAAUCCUAAAUGAAAUUCCAUAAAAGGAUUAGUAGAGUGUCACAGAGGAGCCGGUUAAGAGUACCAAAGGUAAUUUGUAACCUUAGCAACUACUGGAAAUGGGGAUUAUCACAGCCAUGUGGGCCGCCUUUGUGGAUUGGGCCAGAGUGAGGUUGCCCAGGCUACAACCCGGAUUCCUAAAUCAUCGUAAAGAUUUACAGACAGAUUUAGAAAUUCUAAUUUAUAUAGAGGAAAUAAUUCUAGAUACCAUCGUACCUAUUUAUUUUAUUCGAAUCUUUAAUGGCGUAACUAAAUUGUACGGUUUAACUGCGUUGAUAUGUGUUGUUUUCAAAUGAAGGAAGAUCUCUACCAGGCUGAAAAGCGCUUUCAGGGUGCUGCCACCUUUUAAAAAUUAAAUGAAUUGAGAAACGAGAAUGAUUUGGACCAGAGCUGAUGUGGUAACUGGAUUCAACUGGGUUGUCGUCCAAAGCUUCGGUUCAAAGCAAGAAACUCCCAGUCUAGCGUUUAAUCAGGGAGGCAUUAUCCAGCAAGUUUAACCACUUUCUUGUUGGGACUUCUCAAAUGUCUUAUUGCUUAAUCAUGUGGAAGUGACAACAGCCAAACCCUCUCUAUCUCUCUCUCUUCUCUCACUCUCUCUGUCAUUCUAUUUUCAUUUCUUUGUAAGUUUGGGGAAGCUAUUAAAGCAACAGUAAAAGGCUUCACAAAUGACAUUUGCUGACAUUCAAGGAAGUGCAUUUAUCAGCCAAGUACAGUUCACCUUGGUGAAUGAAAUCCAUUUGUGCCAGUGUCUGCCUGGUGGCCUCUCUUUCUCUCGUUUGCUCUUUCUUUCUCUCCCUUUCUCUCUCUCUCUCUCUCUCUAAAUUGAUGCCCAGCGAAUGGGGAAAUGGCGAGGUGGCGCACGGUGCGGCAGCUGCUCUCAAAUGUCACGCUGGAAAAUCUUUAAUGGGCUAAGUGUAGCCUUUCCGGCCCCAACUUGUCAGGUAAUCAGAAAUCUCUGUGACUCCUCUCCCUCCUCUCUCCUCUUCCCACAUUUCCAAGCUCCCCAGGGCCACAUCCCAACAUUAAUUACACGUUAUUCUGUUCGGAACUCCACCGCCGUGAAACAGAUAGACUGCUUUUAAAAGUCAAGACACUGGAGGAAAAAUCUUCACUGCUUGGUUAUACAUUUAUGAUCUACAGGGAAGCUUCUUAUGCUCUUCGCUUGUUUCAAAGACGUAACUGUGAAGGAACUCGACGUAAUGGACAAAGUGGACAGUAUUUCUUCUACACGUUAUGCUUCUAUAGCAGACAACACAAUUAUUGAGAAUGUAUUUCUGAUUUAUUGAUAUGUGCAACUUGUCAAUUUGUCAUGUGAUUCAUGAUUGUAUAAAAGCUGGAUACAAACAAUAAACAAGAGUAUUUUCUACAUUA
Long non-coding RNA from Puntigrus tetrazona (Sumatra barb), 10016 nucleotides. RefSeq lists it as uncharacterized. The transcript is spliced from 2 exons. The record is from RefSeq and is a predicted model, not a curated record. Lineage: Eukaryota; Metazoa; Chordata; Actinopteri; Cypriniformes; Cyprinidae.